CGCUGCCGCCGGGAAGGUGUUGCCGCUGUUACCGCUGCUCGGCCGACUCGAAGAUCCUUGCUUGCACAUUUCUGGAUAGUGUGUUGAACCUUCUUAAGAAUUCAGAGAAACUGCCGUGGGACCACGGAGAGAAAGAUCUAAUCUUAAGGCUUACGCACAUUCCGUCACCACAUCUGAACAAUGUCCUACGUUUUUGUGAAUGAUUCUUCUCAGACUAAUGUGCCCCUGCUACAAGCCUGUAUUGAUGGAGACUUUAACUACUCCAAGAGGCUUUUGGAAAGUGGCUUUGACCCAAAUAUUCGUGACACCAGGGGCAGAACAGGCCUUCACCUCGCAGCAGCCCGAGGGAAUGUAGACAUCUGCCAGUUAUUACAUAAAUUUGGUGCUGAUCUCCUGGCCACAGAUUAUCAGGGAAACACAGCUCUUCAUCUCUGUGGCCACGUGGAUACUAUUCAAUUCUUAGUUUCCAAUGGACUCAAAAUUGAUAUUUGCAAUCAUCAAGGUGCUACACCCCUGGUUCUGGCAAAGCGCAGGGGAGUGAAUAAAGAUGUCAUCCGAUUGCUGGAAUCUUUGGAAGAGCAGGAGGUAAAAGGAUUUAACAGAGGAACUCACUCAAAACUGGAGACUAUGCAGACAGCUGAGAGUGAAAGUGCCAUGGAAAGCCAUUCCCUCCUCAAUCCCAACCUGCAGCAAGCGUCCCUGCUCCAACCCAACCUACCUGGCUCCACUGACGAGAAAGACCUGCUUUACACGCCAGUGUCCCGGGGACAGACGCCUGGCCCAUCCGCUUAGGAGCUGUCCAGAUAACACUCGGCCCCCAAGGCGACCGCCAGCCAACACUGAAGACGGUGCAGGAGUCAGAAGGAGCAGAGAGAACUUGCCAGAGCAUCAGGGCCUCCCCAGAGCCAGGAACCCACAGGUGACACACACUCCAAGGGCCCAGCCUCCUCCCAGGGCUCUGUCCUCCGUUCCAGGGGGACCAGAAGAGGCCUCUGAUGAGGCCCCGUGCCGCAGGGCAGAGUCCAGUCUCAAGAACUGCAUCGUUCAUGAUUAGAGCUCAGCAGGAAUUUACCCAUGGGUUUUUCGAGCAUCUGUGUUUGUCCUUUGCUAUGUCACAACUGUCAACAAAAUAACAUUGUAAUCAUAAAGCUGCCAUUUCUUGUAUGUAAACCCUGCUCCAACCUGUAGCAGGUAUUUAUAGUAUACAUAUUCUGUCCUUUGAUGUAUUCCUUGCCAAAACCCAUGAGGAAGGAAGUAUAAUAACAAUACUAAUUAUUAUAAUAAUUAUGCUUUUGAUUAUAAUUAUUAUAAUCAAUACUAAAAUAAAUUUUAUUUUAAUAAAUAAAACAUGCAUUAAACUUUUUUUAACAUGCCAGGCUUUGUGCUUAUUGUCCUAUAACUAACAUCUCACUUGUUCCCUCCAUGAGCCCCAUAAAGUAAGUAAUAUUAUUGCCCCAUUUCACAGAUGAGUAAGAGGAGACCUGGGACUCCAGCCCAGAUCGGCUGCCCCCAGAGCCUGUGAGCUUCCCCACUGCACCAUCCAGCCUCCCUUGUCAGCCCUGCUUCUCUUCACUCGUCUCCUACCGGGGGAGGCAAGGGCCAGGGGGCUGAGGAACCCACGGCCAGUGUGCAGGCCACUGAGUGGGCCAAGCUCCAGGAUGCAAACCCUCCUGGCUCUCCUGGCAGGUCAGAAUUCCGGGGCUGGCUUCCCACUGCCUCCCUGCCAGUCAGUGCCGACUAGGGAUAACUCCCCCUCAGCUCAAAUGAAAUAAUCAGGAUGACUGCUGUCAGCUGCACUGACAGCCAUGGAUUAGCCACUCGAACUAUUAGAUGGACACCUUGGAAGCUGAAAUUAGAGGACCGAGGACUAAACAACCUUAGCAGCAGAUACAGAGCUCUGCCGUAUCCUUCCGCCUUGCCCUAGUUUCCCCUAUCAUUAGCACCUUGCAUUAGUGUGCCACAUUUGUUAUAAAUGAUGAAACAGUAUUGAUACAUUAUUAUUUUUUUUUUUUUUGGCCAUGCCACACAGCUUGUGGGACCUUAGUUCCCUGACCAGGAAUCGAGCCCAGGCCCUCGGCAGUGAAAGUGCGGUGUCCUAACCACUGGACCGCCAGGGAAUUCCCAAUAUUGAUACAUUACUAUUAACUAAAGUCCAGAGUUUACAUUAAGGUUCACUCUUGAUGUAGUACAUUCUAUGGCCUGGACAAAUACAUAAUGAUAUGUAUCCAUCACUACAGUACUGUACAGAAUAGUUGCACUGCCCCCCCAAAUCCCCUGUGUUCUAGCUGUUUAUCCCUCCCUCUCCUCCAGUCCCCCACCUCUCACCUCCUGCCCCAAUCCCUGGCAACCACGGAUCUUUUUAUUGUCUCCAUAAUUUCACUUUUUCUAGAAUGUCACAUGUAAUAGUUGGAAUUAUACAACAUGUAGCCUUUUUAGAUUGGCUUCUUUCACUUACUAAUAUGCAUUUAAGGUUCCUCCAUGUCUUUUCAUGGUUAGAUAGCUCAUUUCUUUUAUCACCGAAUACUAUUCCUUUGUCUAGAGGUACCACAGUUUAUCCACCUACUGCAGGACAUAUUGGCUGCUUCCAGGGUUGGGCAAUUAUAAAUAAAGCUGUUAUAAACAUCAGUGUACAGGUUUUUAUAUGAAAGUUAAGUUUUCAAGGAGAACAAUUGCUGGGUUGUAUGGUAAGAGUAUGUUUAGCUUUGUAAAUAGUAUUUUUAACUUAAUUUUACUUUGGAUAUUAUGUGUUUUAAUGGGAGUGCUUAAGUUGUUCUGGGGAUUUGCAAUUCUUUCAGUAGGAGCAGGAGAUUUCUCACGUACAAAGGUAUAGCUCUCCAUCCUCUCUCCUGUCCCCACCUCUCAGACUCUCUGUCCUUCCCCACUCUCCGGGGCCACAGACAAAUCUGCUCUCAGACCCACCAAGCUGGGGUUCCAUGCCAAGGCCUGGUUCGCACCUUCUCCAGGACAGGGAAGGAAUUGUACGGCUUUUAAAAGCAGUUAAAAUUCAGCUUCUGCUGAGUGUACACAAAGAUGCCAUUUAUGUCAAGCUAAAUCGUUUAGAAAGUCAAUAGGAUUUACAGUAAAGUUUUGGCAUAAUUCUGGAAUAUAACUGAACUCAUUGUACACACAUUAUUAGGUUCUUGAAUUUUAAUAUAUUUCAUUUCUUUCUCUUUCCUGAAUGCUGUUUUCUUAUUGAAUUGUUCCUUCGUCUUCUUGAUACACAUACCUCUACUUUGGAAAAUCACACUCGUUUUUUACUAGCUCAACAGGGCAGGAGGUAGGCCUUGUUUGUCUUUGUAAUGCCUAAGUAAAUAUUUAUUGAAUGAA
Molecule: RNA transcript, 3327 nt
Organism: Lagenorhynchus albirostris (white-beaked dolphin)
Lineage: Eukaryota; Metazoa; Chordata; Mammalia; Artiodactyla; Delphinidae
Gene: ANKRD46
Gene name: ankyrin repeat domain 46
Exons: 7
Source: RefSeq, a predicted model, not a curated record